UCCCGUAUUUGGCCAGUGCCCUCGGCCCACUAUGCGUGUCUGAGAGUCGGGUUGCUCGGGAUUGCAGCCUGAAUGGGAGGUAAAUUUCUCCUAAAGCUAAAUACUGGCGAGAGACCGAUAGCGAACAAGUACCGUGAGGGAAAGAUGCAAAGAACUUUGAAAAGAGAGUUAAAAAGUACCUGAACUCGUUGGGGGGAAAGCGUUUGCUUCCAGUGUGCGCGCGUCAAUUCAGCCUCUGGGUGUACUUUGGCGUGCGCGGUCAGGGUGGGUUGUGCGCGGCGUUGAUGUCCCCCGCGAGGCCUUCGGGCAACCGGGUGGUCUUUUGCGCUGCCUGCGACCGAGGCUCGCUCUGUUGUAGGGUCGGUGGAUCGUUUUGGCGUCUCACAAGCAACUUGUGCUCGCCGGGCGUGCAGCCUUACCUGCUCUCUAGCGUGACCCUGACGAAAUGGGCGCAACCGACCCGUCUAGAAACACGGACCAAGGAGUCUGACGACUGCGCGAGUCUUCGGGUGGCAACCCCGUGGGCGUAAUGAAAGUGAGAGAUGCUCAGCAUCGACCGACCGUGAUCUCCUGUGAUUGGUUUGAGUAUGAGCGUUGUCGCCGGGACCCGAAAGAUGGUGAACUAUGCCUGAGUAGGGUGAAGCCUGAAGAAAUUCAGGUGGAGGCUCGUAGCGAUACUGACGUGCAAAUCGUUCGUCGAACUUGGGUAUAGGGGCGAAAGACUAAUCGAACCAUCUAGUAGCUGGUUCCCUCCGAAGUUUCCCUCAGGAUAGCUGGAGCUCUUUGUUCAGUUUUGU
This 797-nucleotide ribosomal RNA is filed under the name Diacronema sp. EMB-2011. RNAcentral's name for it is "eukaryotic LSU rRNA". It matches the Rfam family "Eukaryotic large subunit ribosomal RNA", at positions 219 to 1004 of the family's 3401-position model. Lineage: Eukaryota; Haptophyta; Pavlovophyceae; Pavlovales; Pavlovaceae. The record is from RNAcentral.